Molecule: long non-coding RNA, 1599 nt
Organism: Cyprinus carpio (common carp)
Lineage: Eukaryota; Metazoa; Chordata; Actinopteri; Cypriniformes; Cyprinidae
Source: Ensembl
AUUAUUUACACUUAAACAAAUCAUACAUUAUUUUUAUCAUUGUGUGUUUAGAUGAUGAGGCCUGUACUUCAUUUAUGAGUAUGUGACUAGAGUAUGUGCACAUAAAAUAUUCACAAAAUAAAAGUUUAAUAGUAAAUUAAAUCACACAUAUACUUGAUCUGGAUGACAAUUAUUGAGAUCAGGCAUCGAAAAGGUGACACUUGGCUUCAUACAGUUAAUGUUGCACAUACGCAAGGCAAAUGCAAUUUGAUGGGUUGUUAUAGUGCACAUCAGAAAUACAGCAAUAAACAUAAAAUGAUGAUUAGUCACUACAGAGGUUAUAACAGACCAGAGCAAUAUUCAGUUUCAAGAGAAAUAAAAAGGAGAACAAGCCAGACCAUUAAAAAAUGUGUAUGGGUCUUAGGGAUGGGGGACAAGAACAUAUUGUUUUAGUAAAAGCAAAGAAAACAUGAAAUGCUUAAUAAGACAAGUAAACAUGGUAGGCAGUGACAGGAUGUGACAGUUCUGCAGUGGAAAAUGUGCUCUGUGGGUUCACUGGUCACUGCAGACAAAAGCACAAAACUGUAUUUGAAUACGUGACAUGACCUUCCUUUACGUGUUGAAUUUAGAUGACCUGUGCUGGCAUUCACACUUUGAAUAGUUGAUCUUCAUAUUCCUUUUUUAUUUUUUAUUUUUUUAUUUUUUUUUAGGCAGCAUUACUAAAAAAUUUCAGUCUCUACAGCACGUCUGCAAGCCUUCGAGAUCCUGAGCGGAGAGUAAAACAGUUUACACUCCUUCACAGCCCUUAAACUGAGUGUCCUGUUAUGGCCAGUUUUCAGACCAGGAUUCUUCGUCUGCAUCUCUGUGUUGUUAUUAUUCUCCUGACUCAUGCAGAUUAUUCCAAAUCUAAUCAAGAGCAAAGGAUUCGGCAGCACAUCAACAAAACAGUGUUUGUGGGGGAAACAGUUACACUUCACUGCAACAAAACCCAACUUGAUGAUGAUUUCACAUGGAAAAUGAACAGCUUCGUUAUUUUUAGGCAGGACUCUGAAAGAAACAGAACAAUGAGAAACUUCAGCUCCAACAGGAUUCACAUCGACCCCGCAGCGCCAAGAGAAUUAACAAUACAUCAAAUACAAGCGUCUGAUGCAGGAAACUACAGCUGUUACCCAGCAGCAAUAAGAUGGACAUUAACAAUAACAGAUCAGACCAGAAUCACCCAAACAAAUGCCGCUGAACAUCAUCAUUAUCAUCAUCAUCAUCACCAUCAGUAUCUGCAUUCACAGAGAGAAUGUUUUGAUUGUAUUUUGGUGGUGUUUAUACAUAUCCUUCUAAAAUGUCCAAGCAUCCAAACAUCACUACAUUUUUUAAAUAUUUAUACAAUGGUUCUUCCGUCAACUCCAGCCAACUUAUCAUUAUCAAAACAAACAGAUUUCUACUUUUUCAUAUUGUUAUGCUGGUCACAUUAAAACUGCCUUGGACACAUUUCCCCUGCCUUCAUCAAUUAUUUCUACUAUUUUCAAAUGUAUUCUCUGCAUUUAUUUUAUUGCUGUAUUCUUGUCCUGGUCCCAUGAUUUUUUUUAUAAUAAAAACUGUAUUUAUUAUUAUUAUUUAAAGAAA